GGACUACCGGGGUAUCUAAUCCCAUUCGCUCCCCUAGCUUUCGUCCCUGAGUGUCAGUUGCAGUCCAGUAGAGCGCUUUCGCCACCGAUGUUCUUCCCGAGCUCUACGCAUUUCACCGCUACACCGGGAAUUCCCUCUACCCCUACUGCACUCUAGCUUUUCAGUUUCCACGGCCUUUCCAGGGUUAAGCCCCAGUCUUUGACCGCAGACUUGAAUAGCCACCUGCGGACGCUUUACGCCCAAUAAUUCCGGAUAACGCUUGCCUCCUCCGUAUUACCGCGGCGGCUGGCAC
This 292-nucleotide ribosomal RNA is filed under the name uncultured bacterium. RNAcentral's name for it is "partial 16S ribosomal RNA". The record is from RNAcentral.